This 523-nucleotide ribosomal RNA is filed under the name uncultured Paraglomeraceae. RNAcentral's name for it is "SSU rRNA". It matches the Rfam family "Eukaryotic small subunit ribosomal RNA", at positions 569 to 1092 of the family's 1831-position model. The record is from RNAcentral. Lineage: Eukaryota; Fungi; Glomeromycota; Glomeromycetes; Paraglomerales.
AGCAGCCGCGGUAAUUCCAGCUCCAAUAGCGUAUAUUAAAGUUGUUGCAGUUAAAAAGCUCGUAGUUGAACUUCAGGCCUGUCCAGAUGGUCCGCCUUAAUUGGUGUGUACUGUCCUUGGGUGGGUCCUACCUUCUGGCGAAGCGGCAUGGCCUUAAUUGGUUGUGUUGGGGAACCAGGACUUUUACUGUGAAAAAAUUAGAGUGUUCAAAGCAGGCAUAAUAUGCUCGAAUACAUUAGCAUGGAAUAAUGGAAUAGGACGAUGGUUCUAUUUUGUUGGUUCUAGGACCGUUGUAAUGAUUAAUAGGGAUAGUUGGGGGCAUUAGUAUUCAAUUGUCAGAGGUGAAAUUCUUGGAUUUAUUGAAGACUAACUACUGCGAAAGCAUUUGCCAAGGAUGUUUUCAUUAAUCAAGAACGAAAGUUAGGGGAUCGAAGACGAUCAGAUACCGUCGUAGUCUUAACCAUAAACUAUGCCGACUAGGAAUCGGGCGAUGUUGACAAAAUGACUCGCUCGGCACCUCAUG